CAGCCGCCGCGGGAAUACGGAGGGUGCAAGCGUUAAUCGGAAUUACUGGGCGUAAAGCGUGCGUAGGUGGUGGUUUAAGUCCGUUGUGAAAGCCCUGGGCUCAACCUGGGAAUUGCAGUGGAUACUGGGUCACUAGAGUGUGGUAGAGGAUAGUGGAAUUUCCGGUGUAGCAGUGAAAUGCGUAGAGAUCGGAAGGAACAUCUGUGGCGAAGGCGACUAUCUGGGCCAACACUGACACUGAGGCACGAAAGCGUGGGGAGCAAACAGGAUUAGAUACCCGUGUAGUCCCUGUCUCUUAUAC
RNAcentral lists this ribosomal RNA (301 nucleotides) under uncultured bacterium. RNAcentral's name for it is "partial 16S ribosomal RNA". It matches the Rfam family "Bacterial small subunit ribosomal RNA", at positions 509 to 807 of the family's 1533-position model. The record is from RNAcentral.